AGGAGAGCCAGCGCAGGCGCAGUUAGUUGGUGUCCUCCGAAGGUUGACUUCCUUCUAAUUCGAAUCUUCAGACAAAUAAGAAUUGCUGUCUAAAAGAACUUGGAGGAAGAUCUACUUGGAUUCUAGUCCUGGCUCUUAGGUAAGUCUGGAUCUUAGUUUCCUCAGAAAUAAAAUAAAGGGAGAAUGGACUGAAUUUUCUUUCUUGUCAUUCCAUGCAUGACUCUCUGACAUUUUCUGGUAAAGAAUGAGGGUGGGGGAGGUAACGCAGCCUCUGUGAGCCACUUGAGAGCAAGAGGUUGUAUCUUUGUAGCCUUAGCACCUUAAUACAGUGGGGGUCAGUAACCGUUCAGGAGACUUGUGGAUGAGAAUGCCUUGAGAUUCAAAAACCCCAGAUUUGAAUGCACAUAUUGGUGGUACUGACUUUGGGUGACUGAGCAAAUCUGGUUCAGAGCACCUUAGCAUCCCUGUCUGCAAAAAAGCUGGAGUGAGAUUUAUAACAACCUUACACCUCUCCGGAAUGAAUGAAUCGCUAUGAGUGAACCUACAGUUGUGCAGAUGAAAAGAACUCUGUGUGUGUUCAAGACCUUGGGUUAUCUGUUAACUGAAAUUUGCUUCCUAGGCGGGUGCAGGGUGAGCAUGUAUUGCUUACCCUAACUUUAGACAAAAGGCUACCAAGAAUAGACUAUGAUUCUUUCAUUUGCUUCAUUUUUUGAUGAGAUUGUGCAGAAAGCUUUAGCCUGGGACAGUGAUUCUUUCUGGCUAAUGCAGUAAUCAAACAAGUCUUGCUGCUCUCCUCAGCAGAAACAAAUCAAUUUAGAAACCCACAUGGGAAUUUACUGUUUCCUCUGUACAGACCAGGUUCAAGGCCAUCUCAUUCUAGCAGCUGAAAUCAAGCAGAAAUCCUUGGAGAACCGUGUCAUAAAGCCCCAUUCACUUUUAGCUGAUUGAAAAUGUAAAAACAGAGCCCACAUACCUAGUAUGCUAUUUUAAAAAAAGAUUCCUUUAUUCCUUGGUUAAUUAAAAAAAAAUUCAUUCAUACCAUUGCUCAUCUUUUCAAAAAAUAUAUCGAAGUAGUUCAGUUAAAGACAUUUAACCAUUCGAAAUUAUAAAUGAAGUCAUUUCCUUCCCUCACUUCCCAGCCACCCGCCUUCUCCCCUCCCCUCCCCACUCCCCAUUACUGAGAUCCCUAGGUUAGCACUCCAGACAGCAUUCUGGCCUACAUAUAUCCCGUGCUAUUUCUUCUGCCUGGUGAGUUAAAAAAGGGAGUGAAAGCAGUUUUCCUAUCAAGAAAAGCUGCAGCUUUGAAAAAGUCCUUCCUGGGGAGGGAGCAGCAAAUCUUAUCAGCCUAAAGAUCUUAACUCCUUAGCUCUGAGCCUGCCGGGUUCAGAGAUGGGCUGGCAGAGUUCGCUGCCUUCUGCGGGCUACACUCGGUGAGCCUGGAUCAGUUAGAGGAGGCAGGGAUGAAUCCUUAGCGAUCUGAAAAGAAAUAAAACAAAUUAAUGCCAAAAUAAGCUGACAGUGGGAUAGGGGAAUGAUUGCCUAUGUCAGCCUACCAAUUAAAAAACCACUGCUUUUAGGAUACGUAAAGGUGGCCAUUAUGUAUUGUUAUUACAGGAUGUAAUAAAACACAGCUUGAUUCUACUUUUGUGGGGGGUUUUUUUGUUUGAAUGGAGGUCAUGGGGAAUGUACCCAGCAUCUUAUGCAUGCUAAGCGUGCGCUCUACCACUGAGCUGUACCCCAACCCUGAUUCAACUUUUGUAAGAACAGAUUUAGUUAUACCAGAAUAUUAAAUUUUGGUUAUCUCAGUGGUGGGAUCAUGGGUAAUUUGUAUUCAAAUCCUUCUUAUCUGUAUCAUCUAAACUCUCUACAAUAAAUAUGUAUUAUUCUAGUAAUAAGAAGCUACAUAAAAAGUGAUUGUACCAAGGGGACUUCUUGGGGGCUGGCCACAUUCUGUUCCUUGAUCUAGAAGUUGUCCACUCAUGAUACGAGCAAUUCUCUGUAUGUAUAGUGUACUUCAGUUAAAAUGGUUUUCAAACAGUGGUUUUCUGGGAACUCUCAUUCAUUGCUGGUGGGAAUGCAGAAUGGUACAGCCACUUUGGAAGGCACUUUGGCUGUUUCUUACAAAACUAAACAUACUUUAGACAUAUGAUCCAGCAGUCUCACUCCUUGAUACUGACCCAGAUGAGUUGAAAACUUACAUCCACACAAAAACCUACACAUGGAUGUUUAUAGCGGCUUUAUUCGUAACUGCCAAAAAGUUGGAAGCAACCACGAUGUCCUUUAGUAGAUAAAUGAUAAAUACUGAGUGAGUGUAUGCAGCAACUGUAUUUGGGAAUUCUCUGCACUUUCUGCUCACAGUUCUGCUGUGAACCUCAGACUGCUCUAAAAAAAUAAAGUCUAAUUUAAAAAAAGUGGCUGUACGCCUCUGGGAAUAUAUUAAAGACUGUUGAAUUGUACGUAAUAAGUGAGUGAACUAUAUGAUAUGUGAACUAUAUCUCAAAGCUGUUAUUUUUUUUUAAAGUAGUUGUAUUCAUAGGUUAAAACAGAUACAAAGUACUGACAUGCUACACUAUGGAUGAACCUGGAAAACAUUAUGCUAAGUGGAGAAGCCAGACAUAAAAGGCUAUAUAUUGUAUGAAAUGUCCAGAAUAGGCAAAAACAGAAAGAUUAGUUGUUGCCUGGGACUAGGGGAGUGGGGAAUGGGGAAUUGCUAAUGGGUCCAAGGUUUCUUCUUGGGAUGAUGAAAACGUUGUGGAAUUAGACAGUGGUGAUUAACCUGUGCCUUCCUGAGUGUACUAAAACAUGUUGAUUGUAUGCUUUUAAAGGAUGAACUUUAUGGUCUGUGAAUUAUCUCUCAAUAAAGCUGUUUUUUUAAAAAUGGGGAAAAAAAGACAAUGGCAGAUUUUGGAACAUUGUCUUAAAUAGCUAUGUGCCUAGAAUCUGGAAAAUCACAGUCUUUCGAACAAUAUAACUUAAUGUACAUUAAAAAAUUAGUUUUGAUUAAGAAUGCCCAUAUGUUAAGAAGCCUAGAACCUCUCUCGUCGGUGCUCCCAGUUGAGUGGGAACUGGAGUCUGAUACCUGAGAAGGCAUUUUACCAUUAGCAGCGGAAUUCAAGGGAACAUCCCAGGUUCUUGCUCGAGAAUAUCCGGCUGUGGUCAGUGCGGGUCUAUUAAAGGCAGCAACUCUCCGCAUGGAGAAUCCAGUUUCAAACACGCCAAGUCAUCCGACCGCGUGGGCCCGAUGUUCAGGAUUGCGAUCGGUAGCUUCUUCUCCCAGGCAGUGAGGAUAAACCUGUAACCAGAGUACACCUGUCCGAGAGGAAGGCGCCGGUAAGAACUCUCUAGGCACAGGAAGAGAGAAAGCAAAUGGGGAGGCUCUCCAGGGCUCCCCAAACGGGCAUUUCCCCACUCCCCCUCCCCAAGUUACCUGCAAGGAGGAUCCCACCACCAGGAGGGAGUCGGCUUCUUUUACACGCUUGUGCACAAAAUCAACCUUGUCAGGGUUCACCGUGCCCCCGAAGAAGACGACGUCUGGUUUCAGGGGGCCUCCACAGCGAGAGCAGCACGGGACCUGGAAGCUCUGUACCUGCUCGUCGGUGAGGAAGACAUCCCCGUCGGGAGCCAGGCCGUGGGCCUCGGCACUCCAGGUGGGGUUCAGGACUUCAAAACGCUCCUGCAGCGCCGUGCGGGGCGUCUGCUCACCACAGUCCAAGCAGAGGACCCUGAAACCCAAGAAGAGGCCGACUGAACAGUCUGUCCUGGGGAGGCACCAGGCUGCCGAAGACAUUUCAUCCCCAACCACUUCCAGCCCCUCCACCAUCACUUUCUUUUCCUGACACCUGUGUCUUCCCCAUGUUCAAAAUACCUUCCUGUGACCUCUUUAGCUGCCACCUUCCUUCCACUGACAAUCUACUAGAACAACAAACAUCUGUUUCCUUACUACACACUCCCUGCUCAGAUCUGCUUGCUCACUUUUAUCCUUAACACAACUGCAAAGGCUUUACCAAUUUCCUUCCUGCUGAGACCAGGGUUUUUUCCCUUCCAUCCCUUGCUCUCCAUUCAUCUGCUGUAAAUUAUCACUGUUCACCACCAUCUUCUCUUUAAAACGCUUUCGCUCCCUUGGUGUCUGUGACAGUGUCUUCUGCUUCUCUUGUCACCUCCCUCGCCACCAGAACACAGGCUCUGUCAGGGCAAGACCUUGGAGUCCUUUGCCCACUGCUCUGUGCCCACCACCCAGAACAGUGCCUGCACACAGCAGGCACUCAGUAGCUGCUGGAAGAAAGAAUGGAAGUUGAUUCCUCCUCUGCUCCUCAAGUCUCCUCAAACUCUAGUCCAAGUCUCUGUGACAGUCCUGCCAAACUUAACUUCCAUCUUCAACCAGCCCUCCCCAAGUUCUCCAUCACUGUCAGUCCUCCAGUUACCUGGGCUGAAACCCUCAGGAAAAAAACUUGUUAUUCAUUUUAUUUUACUCUUUGGGGGGGGGGGGACUAGGUUUUUAUGUAUUUAUCUUUUUAAUAAAUAUUUAAAAUUAUUUAUUUAUUAUUAA
Molecule: long non-coding RNA, 4546 nt
Organism: Camelus dromedarius (Arabian camel)
Lineage: Eukaryota; Metazoa; Chordata; Mammalia; Artiodactyla; Camelidae
Exons: 2
Source: RefSeq, a predicted model, not a curated record